GUACGGGAGGCAGCAGUGGGGAAUAUUGGACAAUGGGCGCAAGCCUGAUCCAGCCAUGCCGCGUGAGUGAUGAAGGCCCUAGGGUUGUAAAGCUCUUUCGCCAGGGACGAUAAUGACGGUACCUGGAUAAGAAGCCCCGGCUAACUUCGUGCCAGCAGCCGCGGUAAUACGAAGGGGGCUAGCGUUGUUCGGAAUCACUGGGCGUAAAGCGCACGUAGGCGGAUCUUUAAGUCAGGGGUGAAAUCCCGAGGCUCAACCUCGGAACUGCCUUUGAUACUGGAGGUCUCGAGUCCGGGAGAGGUGAGUGGAACUGCGAGUGUAGAGGUGAAAUUCGUAGAUAUUCGCAAGAACACCAGUGGCGAAGGCGGCUCACUGGCCCGGUACUGACGCUGAGGUGCGAAAGCGUGGGGAGCAAACAGGAUUAGAUACCCCGGUAGUCCA
Molecule: ribosomal RNA, 441 nt
Filed under: uncultured bacterium
Lineage: Bacteria
Description: bacterial SSU rRNA
Rfam family: Bacterial small subunit ribosomal RNA
Source: RNAcentral